This is a long non-coding RNA of Cyprinus carpio (common carp), 478 nucleotides long. The record is from Ensembl. NCBI's taxonomy places the organism in Eukaryota, Metazoa, Chordata, Actinopteri, Cypriniformes, Cyprinidae.
AUGUCAGUAUGUGGGAAGAUUUGCCUAACGCCUCCCAGAUGUUCACGCAAAGAAAGAAGGCGUACCUUUUAUCUAACGCCUGCCAGAUGUUCACGCAAAGAAAGAAGGCGUACCUUUUAUCCUUGUUAUAGUAUUGUUGUUGCUGCUGCUGCCAUGUCGUAUAGACGCUGUGUGUUUCAAUGUGAAAGUGAAACUACUUUGUUUGGCCUUCCAAAAGAGCAAGAUAUCUGCUUUGUCAUGCCAGGAGCUGAUCAGUGCUGGUCGCUGAGGAAAUACAUCAACUUUGCACUGUGGAUCGCCAAAUCGGCUUUCACCGUGGACGAAGUGGAGUCCAGCCCGGGGUCAUCACAUGUGGUUGCUGCAAGACCAAGGGUAUGGAGGUUUGGGUGCAGCUGGAGGCACGGGAGGUGUUGGAAGCCCACUAGGAACCGCUGGAGGUAAAGUUACAUUGUAUUCAGCAUUGUCACUUAAGAUUAAU